Molecule: ribosomal RNA, 454 nt
Filed under: uncultured bacterium
Lineage: Bacteria
Description: bacterial SSU rRNA
Rfam family: Bacterial small subunit ribosomal RNA
Source: RNAcentral
UAGGGAAGGCAGCGGUGGGGAAUAUUGCACAAUGGGCGAAAGCCUGAUGCAGCUAUGCCGCGUGUAUGAAGAAGGCCUUAGGGUUGUAAAGUACUUUCAUCGGGAAGGAAAAACAAAACUAAUAAUUUUAUUUCUUGACGUUACCCGAAAAAGAAGCACCGGCUAACUCCGUGCCAGCAGCCGCGGUAAUACGGAGGGUGCUAGCGUUAAUCAGAAUUACUGGGCGUAAAGAGCACGUAGGUGGUUUUUUUAAGUCAGAUGUGAAAUCCCUGGGCUUAACCUGGAACUGCAUUUUGAAACUGAAAUACUAGAGUAUCGUAGAGGGAGGUAGAAUUCUAGGUGUAGCGGUGAAAUGCGUAGAUAUCUGGAGGAAUACCUGUGGCGAAAGCGGCCUCCUAAACGAAUACUGACACUGAGGUGCGAAAGCGUGGGGAGCAAACAGGGAUUAGAUACC